This is a long non-coding RNA of Rhinolophus ferrumequinum (greater horseshoe bat), 667 nucleotides long. RefSeq lists it as uncharacterized. The record is from RefSeq and is a predicted model, not a curated record. Lineage: Eukaryota; Metazoa; Chordata; Mammalia; Chiroptera; Rhinolophidae. The transcript has 3 exons.
GCCUUUCACUUCUGGAAGUGUUGCGUGUGCAUCGGUCUGUUAGUCGUGUUUUGUGCGCUAAAAUGAUAACGGGGACGGCGCUUUUUGGUGUAGUUAAAAUGCAGGAGGUUCAAGAGUCUUGUACUGGUAGAUCGAGGUCAGCGUGGCAAGCCUCCAGGGUGGGAAGCCUGAGCGGACUCGGGGGUACUUUAGGUCGCGCGGCGGCCACGUGCAGCCCUGGGCGCUGAGUCCCGGGCCGCGCGCCCGUGGGCCCUGGUCCCACGGGCAAAGGCUCAGUGCAUCUGACGACUCCGGGAAGGUCAGUAAUCCUGCUGUCGGCUUCAUGUGGCCGUCGUGAAUCCACCCCGCCACUAUUAUUACAUAUACUAACGCCGCACGCGGAUACCACCAGUUUGAUCCACACGGAAGCCGAACUAAUUGUUCCGAUGGGUGACGGCACACAUGACAAGGAAUCAGGAAAUCCAAAGUGACCUGGUGAAGCCUUAGCAUCCUGCUGUGCGCUGCACAAACGUGAUUUUAAAUUUCAACAGAUCCAGGAGUGAGUGGCAAAUACUGUUCUGGAAACUACAGGCAAUAUUUUUUAUAUAGGUCUGAAUGUUGUUUUUAUAAAACAUUUAAGAGAAUAAGUGAGUGCCUCCUUGUUAAAUAAAAUGCUUGAUUCUCUGAA